CGCGUAGGUGGUUUGGUAAGUCGGAUGUGAAAGCCCCGGGCUUAACCUGGGAAUUGCAUUCGAUACUGCUUGACUAGAGUAUGGUAGAGGGAAGUGGAAUUCCAGGUGUAGCGGUGAAAUGCGUAGAUAUCUGGAGGAACAUCAGUGGCGAAGGCGACUUCCUGGACCAAUACUGACACUGAGGUGCGAAAGCGUGGGGAGCAAACA
RNAcentral lists this ribosomal RNA (207 nucleotides) under uncultured bacterium. RNAcentral describes it as "partial 16S ribosomal RNA". It matches the Rfam family "Bacterial small subunit ribosomal RNA", at positions 568 to 774 of the family's 1533-position model. The record is from RNAcentral.